UUUCCAUAUUUUGCACGGAUAUAUCACGAUUUUGCACGGAUACAGUUUAGUAUUUUUUUUUUUUGAAACACGGAUACAGUUUAGUAUAGACAUACUGUACAGUACAUAAUUACAUGGAGUAAUAAAAAACUGAUGAAUGUAAACCUAUCUGUCCUCAGUUUCCCGCUCUCUCUCCCGGUUUCCCAAUUCCCAUUGUAGCGCGCUGAACGCUCUCCAUUGAGGCGACUUCUGCAAUCUUUAUCCUCCAUUGAAGCAGCUUUUGAGGAAGGAAGUUUAGCAUUGCUGCAUGAUUAUCUUGGAAGGAUGGAUGCAAAAAUAGAUCAGACUGUGGAACUUGUAGACGUACAUAAUGUUUCUAAUAAUGACAUCUCAGGGGUAGACUUGGGUUCUGCUCCUAGACAAGUUGGAGAUAGAGAAUUUGAACAACCACCUUUAUCGCUCAAUUCAUUUGUUGAAGGUGUAGGUCAGCAGCUUGAAUAUGAACCUGGCUUUUUGGUGCCUGAGAACCUGGAAUUUAGACCAACUAAUGUUUUUCAUGUUGCUGACACAAACAUUGAGGAUUUUCAGAAAGUGCAAGAACAAGCUGCCUAUAAUGAAGUUGAAUUACCGGAGGAACAAGAAGUAAACAAGGAGUUAAUUUCUAAUUCGGCAAAGCCUUGGAGCAAGGUAGAAAAGAGUGCCAAAGGAUCAUAUCCAAAAUCUGGAAGUUUGAUGAUGGAUCACCAUGUUAGCUAUCAGCUACCACCUGAUCAUGAAGGUAAGUUUGCAGUGUAUGAUUUGGUUUGGGGCAAAGUGAAGAGCCAUCCUUGGUGGCCUGGGCAAAUAUUUUAUCCUUCUGAUUCCUCAGAAAAGGCUAUGAAAUAUUUUAAAAAGGAUUGUUAUUUGGUGGCAUAUUUUGGAGAUCGGACAUUUGCAUGGAAUGAAGCAUCAGUAUUAAGGCCAUUCAGAAACCAUUUCUCCCAGGCAGAAAGGCAAAACAAUUCAGAAGCAUUCCAAAAUGCUGUGAGCUGUGCUUUGGAAGAGGUUGCAAGAAGGGUGGAAUUGGGGCUGGCCUGUUCUUGUGUAUCUGAAGAGGCCUAUGGCAAGAUCAAAUAUCAAAUGGUUGAAAACUCUGGGAUAAAGGAAGAGUCGAGUAAGAGGGAAGGAGCUGAUAGAUCGACAGAUGCAGAUUCUUUUCAACCUGAUAAAUUUACUGAAUAUGUAAGAUCACUAGCACUUUUUCCAACAAGUGGCGUCGAACGGCUUGAGCUUGUAAUAGCAAAAUCUCAGCUAUUAGCUUUUAAUAGACUUAGAGGUUAUGUUGCUUUACCUGACUUCCAGUAUUAUGAGGGGUUGGUGGAACGUGAUGCUGGUACAUGUCCUGGAAAUCAGGGGAUGUCUAUUGAGAAUAAACAUGUAGAUUCAAAGACCAGAGUCAAUGCUAAGACAGGCCCUCGUAAACGGAAACACAAUUUGAAAGCUGUUGUGUACCAAAGGAGAAAAGAGAAAGGCGUGACUGAAUCAGUCGGUAAGCCGAUGUAUGACCUUGAUGAUGAAUUUGAUUCACCUGAGGAAGAUGAUAUCGUUUUGGCCUCCCCUACUGCUGGUGCUGGGAGAAACCCUGGAUCCUUUGAAGAUGAUUUCGCAGCUCCUCAGAACACAAAAACUGUUUCUGUGGCCAAGGUUUCACAUACAGCAUCUCCAAAUCCCCAGCAAUCCUUUAAAGUUGGUGAUUGUAUUCGCAGAGUUGCUAGCCAGCUGACUGGAUCAUCAAGAACCAUCAAAGGUUGCAGCGAGAGAAGCAAUGACAAGCAUUCAGAUGUUGCUGAUGAAAUUUUGGAACCUCCUAACGACACUCUGACUGAAAGCACUGCGAAGCAAAGCUCUUUGGUUGAAUUGCUCUCACAGCUUCACUUAUCUGCACGUGAUCCCAUGAAAGGAUACAGCUUCUUUAAUGACAUUAUCAGGUUUUUCUCUGAAUUUAGAAAAGUAGCUGUCACAACUCAGAGGAAAAGAUUGCGCAAAGGGUCUAGCAGAAAAAAGAAGACAUCUGCUCCAGUUGUUGGGUCCCCUGAGACUUUUGAAUUUGAUGACAGAAAUGACUCCUAUUGGACGGACAUGGUUGUCCAAGAUAGUGCUGAAGCUAAACCUGCUCGACGUAGUCACAAGAGAAAGGAUAAACAGGUUAUUUUUGGUGAUCAUGAGAAGCCCCUUCAACGGAAUCCUAGGAAGCAUUCCAGGAAACAGUUACAUCAUAGUAAUCAUGUAUCAACUCCUAUAGUAUCAACUGAGGAUGAGAAGCAGCUGGACCUGCCAGCAGAGCUCAGGUUGAACUUUGGUGAGAUGGGUUCUGUACCUUCAGAAGUGAAUUUGAACAAAAUGUUCAGGCGUUUUGGGCCUCUGAAGGAAUCUGAGACAGAAAUAGAUGUGCAAAGUAGUCGUGCUAGAGUGGUAUUUAAGAAGCGUUCAGAUGCUGAAGUUGCUUAUAGUAGUGCUGCAACGUAUAACAUUUUUGGGUCAACUCCAGUCAAUUACCAGCUUAACUAUACACCUUUUGCUUCCUUUAGAAGUACACCCCUUGCAUUGACUAAUGGAAUAGAGAAUACAACUUGAUGUCCUGUGAGCUCCAUUCCACCAGGUAUAGAUUCAGUAUGAGCUCUACCCCUCUGGCUUCCCCUCUAAAAAAAUGUUGAGUGUUCCUGGGAAGUCAGGUCCAUGCUAGUUGGUGCUUUGCAGACUGACAAUUUCAAACUGAUGAACAGAAGGAUUGCUGAUUAAGAAGGUAACCUGGCUUUCAUCUGGUUAACGGUAUUACUCUUCCUAUUGUCUCUGCUCUCUUGUAAUUUCAAUGAUGGGGUGGGUUUUCUUGUUUCCUUGCCUUCAAGUUCAAUGCUUAAGCACAUCAUGACAAUCCCAGUGAGGACAUCGUUGCAUCUAACAAAUUAUUUGAUUUUUCGACCAUUUGGGUGGUUGAAUGAAUGUAUAAAAGUCUAGAAGAUAGUUAGGAUCUAAUCAACUCAAUACAACACAUUUAGUAGCUAGCUACUGCAGUGUCAUUUCAUGAAAUCACUCGCUUGUUUGUCUUGCCCCCAAAAAAGCUUUUCUACAAAUCAACUCACUGUAGGUUAUGUAGCGAUUGUCUCAAGGGAAACUUCUUAUCUCCCAGAAGGCACUAUAAUAAUGUUGUUGGAACUACACUGUAUGAGUAUACAUUGCUGGCCUGAAUGUACAUCCCCAAUUCUUGUGGCGUCUUACUUUCCUAGUCCAAAUUGUGGAUCGUUGGAAGGAGAAUGAUGAACAAACUGCCAUCCUGGAGUACCUCAGUUUUCUAUCGAGGAUAUAUCCUUGGUAAGUACUACUUGAGACUGUUACAAUCUCAGUUAGUUCUCUACUUUUUGCAAUCCCUUGAAAUGAACUCAACGUCAACACCCCAGUGCCAUCUUUGAUCAUAUAUAUAUACCAUCUUGUUAUGUUGUGCA
Molecule: RNA transcript, 3458 nt
Organism: Chenopodium quinoa (quinoa)
Lineage: Eukaryota; Viridiplantae; Streptophyta; Magnoliopsida; Caryophyllales; Amaranthaceae
Exons: 3
Source: RefSeq, a predicted model, not a curated record